GACGAACGCUGGCGGCGUGCUUAACACAUGCAAGUCGAGCGGUAAGGCCCUUUCGGGGGUACACGAGCGGCGAACGGGUGAGUAACACGUGGGUGACCUGCCCUCAGCUCUGGGAUAAGCCUGGGAAACCGGGUCUAAUACUGGAUAUGACUCCAUGACGCAUGUUGGUGGGGUAGGAAAGCCUUGUGCGGCUGAGGAGUCGGGCCCGCGGCCUAUCAGCUUGGUUGGUGGGGUGANGGCCUACCAAGGCGACGACGGGUAGCCGGCCUGAGAGGGCGACCGGCCACA
RNAcentral lists this ribosomal RNA (288 nucleotides) under uncultured bacterium. RNAcentral describes it as "partial 16S ribosomal RNA". It matches the Rfam family "Bacterial small subunit ribosomal RNA", at positions 28 to 312 of the family's 1533-position model. The record is from RNAcentral.